RNAcentral lists this ribosomal RNA (497 nucleotides) under uncultured bacterium. RNAcentral describes it as "partial 16S ribosomal RNA". It matches the Rfam family "Bacterial small subunit ribosomal RNA", at positions 28 to 507 of the family's 1533-position model. The record is from RNAcentral.
GAUGAACGCUGGCGGCGUGCCUAAUACAUGCAAGUCGAGCGAACAGACGAGGAGCUUGCUCCUCUGACGUUAGCGGCGGACGGGUGAGUAACACGUGGAUAACCUACCUAUAAGACUGGGAUAACUUCGGGAAACCGGAGCUAAUACCGGAUAAUAUAUUGAACCGCAUGGUUCAAUAGUGAAAGACGGUUUUGCUGUCACUUAUAGAUGGAUCCGCGCCGCAUUAGCUAGUUGGUAAGGUAACGGCUUACCAAGGCAACGAUGCGUAGCCGACCUGAGAGGGUGGUAGGCCACACUGGAACUGAGACACGGUCCAGACUCCUACGGGAGGCAGCAGUAGGGAAUCUUCCGCAAUGGGCGAAAGCUUGACGGAGCAACGCCGCGUGAGUGAUGAAGGUCUUCGGAUCGUAAAACUCUGUUAUUAGGGAAGAACAAAUGUGUAAGUAACUAUGCACGUCUUGACGGUACCUAAUCAGAAAGCCACGGCUAACUACGUG